GUUAUUUAACUCACCAAACUCACCGUUUCAUUAGAUAGGAAAACAAGAAAGUAACACAUAUUUAAACUAUUCACUUGGGCUGUUAAAUGGGCUUCGAAAAUUGUUGAUCGUUGUUUUCAGUCCAUUUUAACAGACCCAGCCGGCCAGCCGUCUCCAUAAAACGCUCCAACUAAACCCUAAACGACGAUACUGUUCAUCUUCCUGCUGCAGGAAACUGGCAACGUUUUGCGGUUUAUUCAUGCGAAGGGUCGUCUUCAACACAAUUAUUAACUAUUGUCGGUCUAUGAUUCAAUGCUUCCUCAUUUAUUGACUCCGUCAGAAACUUCAAGUAUAAAAAGGUAUGCUUGAAAUGCAUCAGUCUUUCACCUCAUUUAUAAACUCUCUAAGAAACCUAUCUUUGAUAAUGGCUAAUUCUUUCGCUAGAAACGCUUUCUUCGUAGACUCCGGCUAAAACACUUACAACGAAGAUGAUGAUUAUCACUUUCUCCGUCGAAUUGUUUCCUCCGAACAUCAAAAUCAAUGGAGGCAACAUCUACGUGUGAAGGAGAAACAAUCUCGGCGAAGGCAGAUCAAACGCUCGCCAGCGGAGAAGGCGCUAAUCAGGCCGCGUUUGGAGCGGAGUUGCUUUACUCACCUCUAUCUGCUUCACGAGUUGCCACCGUGAAUCUUUAGGGUUCGUUGUUAGCUGGAAGCUCUGAUUAGUUUCACCAACAAUGGAGGUUCUGAAAGAGCAAACCCCCAUGAAUUUGUACGGUUUGGCAUGAUUGGAGACGUUUGCGGCGAAAGGAUAUGAAUGCACAAGAGAAUGAAGAGAAAUGAUGCAGAUCAUGGUGAGUAAUAUACAUCUUUAACCUUUGGCAAUGAUAUACAAAAUAUUGCUCUGUAAUCUUUACAGACCAUUCAAUCAAAAUUAUAAUAACCUGUAUGGUCUUAGUUGUGCUAUUGUUUGUUGUAGAUGCAAUUAUGUACCAUUAAUUAGUCUAGAGUCUAUUUGAAAACCAAAUUCUCUAUUUAAAAUCUCGAAAAGGGUCAAAGUUUGUAGAGGAAGAAGAGAAGCACAAUAUAACGACUGCAUGUAUUUUGAUAUAUAUGAGAAGAAAGAUGCAAUAUAGUUGUCAAACAAUAUAGAUACUACUUAGGUUUUCUUUCUCGCCUAGGAAUUUGAGUUCAUGUUUCUUUAUAAAGAUCUAUAUUAUUUGUUUUUUUUUCUACGUUUCAGAUACUACAUUUCCAUCCACUUAUAUUGUAGAAUAAAAGAAUCCUUAAAAGUUGAUGCUCCAGAUGAUCAAAAGUAUUAUAACAAUCUUCUGAGGGGCUGUUUGUGGAGAAAAUUUUUUAAUUGGAUUUUGCAUUGCAGAUAAUUGUAUGUGAAGUAUUUUUGGACUAAUGAUUAGUUAAUUAUUGUAGCUUGAUGAAUGUGUUACCGUAUUUCUUGCAGUUGAUGUUUUAGUCCAUCUGAUUCAGCAAACUAAACAAGCACAUUGAUCCCAAUAAUGCUCUUUAGCUUCCCUUAGAAACCUUAAUGGUUGAUUUUUAAAGAGUCCACAUGAAUUUCUCUUUCAGAUGCAUAAGGUAAAACCACAACAAUUUUAUGUUGAUUUUUUAGUUUACUCACUGCAACAUUCAACAUUCAACAUUCAACCAUCCAUCUCAGUCAGGCUUGCACUGCUUAGUGCAGUGGGUGUUUGCUACAAGUCAAGAAAGUUGCCAUUGCUUAUAUAACUUAGCCAAAAGAUUAUUGGGAACUAACUCAAAUCUAGCUAGCCAUGCCAAGCUGACCACACACGUUGUGGAAGCUACUAAACAUAACAUGAUGGAUGAACCGUUAGUGUAUAAACAAAUUAAUGCCAUCUCAACAUAUAUAUAUUUAUUUAUUUAUUACUAAGGUAUGCAGGUUUACGUGGUUCUCUGCAGCAUAACAACUUUCUGUGAUAUUUGCAGGUUUUCUUUGCUCUCCAUCUUAACUCUUAAGACCCAUGAUCAAUUCAGAUUUGUAAGUCUGAGGGUUUUAUGUGAUCAAUGCGGCAGUGGAUGAAGUUAAAUAAGUAUAGGAAAGUUGUUUUGUUUAUAUACAUAAUUUACAAUAUGUAAAUUGUGAAUGAUGUAGCUGUGUAGAAAUAUUAACUGUAGUAUAUAUUUUUAAAACAAAAGAUUGAAAUGGAAAUGUAAAGUAUUAAAAUCUGCAUGUUAAGUAUUUAAAGAAGUAAUUGCAGAAAUUAAAUGUUAUAAAGUAUACAGAGGUAACGAUAUAGAAAGUUAAAAAGAGAACUUUUUUUUGUAAAAGGGGAUAGAAAACAUACAAUUAAAAUAUUUUUAGGAUAGCUGUCCAGGAUUCUCUUUAAACCAAUUAAAUAUUUAACCAGUGUGUUUUUCUUUGCUUUUUAUUUCAAUUGUAACACAGAGAAUUUAAAAUAUCCCAAAACCGUUCAAUUUAAAUCAAGAACUCUAAAGUGUAUGAGAUUAAAUAAGAAAAUAUUUACUUAAUCUAUACAAGAAUUAAUAUUA
This is a long non-coding RNA of Brassica rapa (field mustard), 2505 nucleotides long. RefSeq lists it as uncharacterized. The record is from RefSeq and is a predicted model, not a curated record. NCBI's taxonomy places the organism in Eukaryota, Viridiplantae, Streptophyta, Magnoliopsida, Brassicales, Brassicaceae.